UCCGAAGUGAGUCUUCACAUAUUACUGGG
This 29-nucleotide non-coding RNA is filed under the name Mus musculus (house mouse). The record is from RNAcentral. Lineage: Eukaryota; Metazoa; Chordata; Mammalia; Rodentia; Muridae.